RNAcentral lists this long non-coding RNA (1541 nucleotides) under Mus caroli (Ryukyu mouse). Its description in RNAcentral is "lncRNA (MGP_CAROLIEiJ_G0013250.1)". Lineage: Eukaryota; Metazoa; Chordata; Mammalia; Rodentia; Muridae. The record is from RNAcentral.
AAGCGGGAAAGGUCGGCCCCUAGUCCAGAGUGUUGGAGCUCUUUGGCGUGGUCAGAGCGCGUGCUGGCUUGGCUCACCUUACUAUGAGUACUAUAAUUACUAUGUGUCUGACUUAGUUUCGUGAAGAUUAUUUCACGUCUCUAAAAAUAUGCCAUGCAUCACAUAAAACGGUACGAUAGCAUUUGUUAGGCCCUUUCCUGCGGUAUUACUGUGUACACAACAUCGAUUAGGGCACAGGAACAUUGUCAAGAGAGAUGGACUGAGUGUCCAGCAGUUCUGUCAGACUUGAUGUACACAGAGCAAUCAGAGAAGACCAGCUAAUGAUCAAUAAUGGAAAGGGGCAAGCUGGACAGAGAAAUAGAAAGCAUACAGUUUGCGGAGAAAAGGAACACUAGGAGUGUAAUCAGAGCUAAGUCCAGUGCUCAUGGGAUACAAAAGUUAAAGAAAAGCCUGAGACUAAAAGGAAUAAAGGGAUGGUGACCUCUGGGCAAGACCCCACCCAGCCAAGCACCCAAGCUGUGAAAAGAAAUGAAAGAAAAGCUCAAGCAGUGAAGGAGACCACCAACAGCAGAAGCUGAACCCGAUGUCAGGCAACAGGAGGCCAAGUUCCAGCCCCAGCAAGCAGCAGAACUUGGCAGCUUCCAAGAGUCAAAGACACGAGAGAGGGCUGUGGAAUCUCCCUCCACAAUUAAGGAAAGCCACUGCAGCCAGGCAUGGAGGCCCAGAGAGACCAUUUGUGAAGCUGUGAAAGUGAAACCUGGAUUGUUGGAGACCCCAGGAUACUGGAGAUGCCAGGGUCAUGGGAUAUCUACCUAGGAAAGCUGCAGACCAGGUAUGAAACCCGGUCAAGAGAGAAAAGGAUGUUGCAGUAGAUGAGGCUGAAGGGAGUUGGAGUAUUUCAGCAGUCUCCCAACAUCUUCUAUCUUCCCUGGAGGGAAGCAGGGCUUGAGAGCAUCCUGUGAGCUUGUGAAGGGAAAGGAGGGAAAGGGGAAGCCAAACAGGCAACCCUGGAACAUGAACGUGGUUUUUAUUAUGCAGCACACCUGGUAUCCAUAUCCUAACAGCUUCCAGGAGACGCCACAAAACCUAGUGCAGCCAUUCAGGUUAUACUAAGACAAAAGCUAAGGCUGCAACUCUCAAAAACAAAACAAACAAACAAACAAACAAAAUGGUCCCACUGUAACAAUGCCAUGGAAAGAACCACAUUGCACAAGAAAGGAGGGUACAGAGGCUAAAAUUGGUGUCGAGUAAAUUUUUGUUAUUGCACUUUAUUCUAUACACUUAAUAUGUUACACUUUUAUAUAACACUGUAAUAAACAUUAGUCCUUUAAAACAAAAACAUUACAUAAAGACAAAAAAAAAAAAGCCAACUCCUUCCCCACCCCACCCCACCCCCAAAAAACCCAAAGAACAAAACCCAGCAGGCCAUCCAGACAAUCUUCUUGUCAACUCUCCAGGCUACUUGGUCUGUCCGAUGAUGUCAGGUAUACAUUCUUCACCACCAUGACAAUCACACUAGAUGCUAAUAAAGCACAUGAAGU